GGCGAACGGGUGAGUAACACGUGAGUAGCCUGCCCUUGACUUUGGGAUAACUUCAGGAAACUGGGGCUAAUACCGGAUAGGAGCUCCUGCUGCAUGGUGGGGUUGGAAAGUUUCGGCGGUUGGGGAUGGACUCGCGGCUUAUCAGCUUGUUGGUGGGGUAGUGGCUUACCAAGGCUUUGACGGGUAGCCGGCCUGAGAGGGUGACCGGCCACAUUGGGACUGAGAUACGGCCCAG
RNAcentral lists this ribosomal RNA (235 nucleotides) under uncultured Actinomycetales bacterium. Its description in RNAcentral is "partial 16S ribosomal RNA". It matches the Rfam family "Bacterial small subunit ribosomal RNA", at positions 97 to 334 of the family's 1533-position model. Lineage: Bacteria; Bacillati; Actinomycetota; Actinomycetes; Actinomycetales. The record is from RNAcentral.